This 212-nucleotide small RNA is filed under the name Arabidopsis thaliana (thale cress). RNAcentral's name for it is "ATSL047590". The record is from RNAcentral. Lineage: Eukaryota; Viridiplantae; Streptophyta; Magnoliopsida; Brassicales; Brassicaceae.
GGUAAGUUUUUGUAAAUGAUUACACAUUGUUUAAAAUUUCUAUAAUGGUUAUAUUGAGUCUUACUUAUAUAUUUUGUUAGUUUUUUUUUUUGUACGCAUCAAAUGCACUUUAAACCAUUUAAAUGGAUAUGAAAGAAAAAGCUAGCAUAUUAUGGAUAGUAGAGUCAAUUGCAAGAUAAUAAUAGGUAUGACCACAAUAAUUAUAUAACUAU